Molecule: ribosomal RNA, 585 nt
Filed under: uncultured bacterium
Lineage: Bacteria
Description: partial 16S ribosomal RNA
Rfam family: Bacterial small subunit ribosomal RNA
Source: RNAcentral
UGGGGAAUUUUGGACAAUGGGCGAAAGCCUGAUCCAGCAAUGCCGCGUGUGUGAAGAAGGCCUUCGGGUUGUAAAGCACUUUUGUCCGGAAAGAAAUCCUUGGCUCUAAUACAGUCGGGGGAUGACGGUACCGGAAGAAUAAGCACCGGCUAACUACGUGCCAGCAGCCGCGGUAAUACGUAGGGUGUAAGCGUUAAUCGGAAUUACUGGGCGUAAAGCGUGCGCAGGCGGUUUGCUAAGACCGAUGUGAAAUCCCCGGGCUCAACCUGGGAACUGCAUUGGUGACUGGCAGGCUAGAGUAUGGCAGAGGGGGGUAGAAUUCCACGUGUAGCAGUGAAAUGCGUAGAGAUGUGGAGGAAUACCGAUGGCGAAGGCAGCCCCCUGGGCCAAUACUGACGCUCAUGCACGAAAGCGUGGGGAGCAAACAGGAUUAGAUACCCUGGUAGUCCACGCCCUAAACGAUGUCAACUAGUUGUUGGGGAUUCAUUUCCUUAGUAACGUAGCUAACGCGUGAAGUUGACCGCCUGGGGAGUACGGUCGCAAGAUUAAAACUUAAAGGAAUUGACGGGGUCAUAGCUGUUUCCU